This 292-nucleotide ribosomal RNA is filed under the name uncultured bacterium. Its description in RNAcentral is "partial 16S ribosomal RNA". It matches the Rfam family "Bacterial small subunit ribosomal RNA", at positions 333 to 639 of the family's 1533-position model. The record is from RNAcentral.
UUUGCCCUACGGGAGGCAGCAGUGGGGAAUAUUGGGCAGUGGGCGCAAGCCUGACCCAGCAACGCCGCGUGAAGGAAGAAGGCUUUCGGGUUGUAAACUUCUUUUCUCAGGGACGAAGAAAGUGACGGUACCUGAGGAAUAAGCCACGGCUAACUACGUGCCAGCAGCCGCGGUAAUACGUAGGUGGCAAGCGUUAUCCGGAUUUAUUGGGUGUAAAGGGCGUGUAGGCGGGAGCGCAAGUCAGAUGUGAAAACUCAUGGCUCAACCCUGAGCCUGCAUUUGAAACUGCGUU